CACUCCUACGGGAGGCAGCAGUGGGGAAUUUUGGACAAUGGGCGAAAGCCUGAUCCAGCCAUGCCGCGUGCAGGAUGAAGGCCUUCGGGUUGUAAACUGCUUUUGUACGGAACGAAACGGCCUUUUCUAAUAAAGAGGGCUAAUGACGGUACCGUAAGAAUAAGCACCGGCUAACUACGUGCCAGCAGCCGCGGUAAUACGUAGGGUGCAAGCGUUAAUCGGAAUUACUGGGCGUAAAGCGUGCGCAGGCGGUUAUGUAAGACAGUUGUGAAAUCCCCGGGCUCAACCUGGGAACUGCAUCUGUGACUGCAUAGCUAGAGUACGGUAGAGGGGGAUGGAAUUCCGCGUGUAGCAGUGAAAUGCGUAGAUAUGCGGAGGAACACUGAUGGCGAAGGCAAUCCCCUGGACCUGUACUGACGCUCAUGCACGAAAGCGUGGGGAGCAAACAGGAUUAGAAACCCCAGUAGUCCC
This 471-nucleotide ribosomal RNA is filed under the name uncultured organism. RNAcentral describes it as "partial 16S ribosomal RNA". It matches the Rfam family "Bacterial small subunit ribosomal RNA", at positions 334 to 797 of the family's 1533-position model. The record is from RNAcentral.